Molecule: unclassified non-coding RNA, 3129 nt
Filed under: Hevea brasiliensis (rubber tree)
Lineage: Eukaryota; Viridiplantae; Streptophyta; Magnoliopsida; Malpighiales; Euphorbiaceae
Source: RNAcentral
UACAAAGUUAAAAGCAAAAUUUUAUGUUGCAGAUGAUCAGACAUCUCAUCUGUUGGUACCAGAAACUAAAAGUACACUUGCAUUCCAAGAAUAAGCAACAAUCAUAAAUUCAGGGGGCUAGUAGUUGAAUUGCACUGAGCCUUGCAAUUCUUUGGCAUUGAAUUGUGGCCCAACAUACAAAGAUUACAUUUCUGUUGAGUUCGAUAUCAGCUGUAACAACUCAAUAAAUGUUACAACAGCCUCAUUGAACAGAAGUAUAUUUCUGUCAAUGAGCAGUCAAUGGACUCAGAAUUCCAGUCACAACCUUCCUCAGUAAACAUCAAUUAUCUAGAAAUCAUAUAGAGUUAUUGUUGCAUUGGCCUUGAACCAAGUGUGAAAUAUUGUACAGUCAACCUAAAAAUUUUCUAUAAAAAUGAUAAAUGCAACUUCAAAUAAACCAUGCUUUCCUGCUUGACCGUGUUUGGCUAAUCCUUGGCUUCUGUUGCAGCAUGAAGUAGUUCGUCUGGAGUUGCAGCUGGAUCUAGAUCCCAACACUUAUCUGGCAAAUUCCUCGCUUCUCCUUCAAGUGACCAAGAUGGUACCUGGUGAGAAAAGCGUAACAUCUCUCUCCUAGGAAUCCAUCUAAUAGCAUCCUUGUUUGUGUUCCUCUGGUAUACUGUCUUGAAACCUGCCAACUUGACAAGAGGAGCGACACAGACUCCAAGCUCUUCCGAGUAACCAUCAAGAACCUCAACCAUUUCAUAUUGAUGCCUCACAUCAUCCGGGGUUGAUAUGUUCCAAUCAGGUGACCAGUUUUGAUAAACAGCCCAAAUAUCUCCUCUUUUGGGGUAUAUACGAACACAACCACCCCUGCCAGCUUUCUCCCCUUUCAAAACAUGAGAGAAAAUGUUCACUUGAUCGACAAUAUCAGUAUUCCAUGCUCUGAAGUGCCCACAAGAUUUAGUAAACCCAGAAUCUAUCCAAUUCACUGGCCCAAAUUCACUAUCAGUUUUAGAGUUUAAGUAAGUGAUGAGAAUCUUGAAGGGUUUAACUGAGAUAAUCUGGCGGAUCAAACAGUACAAGCGAGGCAUGCCGUCAUCUUCAUCAUAUAAAGCCCAUAUUUGCUUUGGCUUGAAGCAUUCCUCUGAUCUAUCUUUGUCAAAAUCAUGGAAAUCAGGAUCAGGCACCGUUAUUGAGAUUGGCCCAGCUUUAGAUGGCUUUAUUUGACGGCCAGAAACAUCUGAAUGAUCACAUUUAGGACCAACUCCUGCCUCUCUGGAUUGAUCUUGUGCUUUCUGUUUAACUGCAGCAGCUGCAAUGGCAGCAGACCUGAUCUCUUCUAAUUUCUUACGAAUGUCAGUCCUUGCCUUGUCAAUCAACAACUUCCUAGCAUCAAAAGCAGGUGCAAUUGAGAUGCGUCUUGCUGGGAGUUCAUUUGGAUUGGAAAGCUUUGGGUUAUGCUCGGCGCUGGCAUUUCCAUUAGCCAAUCCCACUUCUGGAGCAGAAUUCAAUCCCUUUUCUUCAUAUCCAUUCCUAAAGUUGGCUUCGAAAACAACCUUCCUUUUCUUAUCAGGUCUAACAGCCUUGGAACCUGAAGAUUCAUUGUAGCUGGCAGAGACACUUGAAUUCAUGUUACUAAUGGCAGCUUUAAUGGAACGCUUUCCAUUGGGUGAUGUUUUAAGAUUAGCUCUUGCUCCAGCAGCAUUUCCAUUAACCUGAUAAACAGCAUCAGUGGAUACAGCAGACGAUCCAUUAUGACCCACAACUCCAGAAGAAGUUCCAGAGAAUGAGCUCCACUGAAAUGACACAUUUGAAACAUACUCAUAUCCAUGUCCAGUGUGUAAUCCUGAAGCCCCAUUGCCUGUAAAUACAGCAGCAGUGGUUGGGACAUAUGUAACUCCAUCAUAUCCAUGACUUCCAUACCCGCUACCAGGAACAUAUGACCAGGGACAGUAAGGAAAAGAACCACUAACUGGAGCUGUCCCAGUUUCGACAGCAAUGAAAGUACCUCGACAGUUCUUACAUGAAAGUCUCUUAUUCACAUACUUCCGUAGAUACUCAUAUUGAACUUUACAAGAAGUGCAUACAGUCCAAAAGGUGUCAAGUCCAUGAGAACUUGAAGAAUUGGAACAAUUGUUAUAUCCUGUGACCCCAGUAGUAUGAACAGAAGAUAAGUUUGUCUGCACAACACAAGAUGCCAUCUGCUUGUUUCUCUUGAGAUCAUAAGAGCUCCGCUUAAGAUUAUCUGACAACAUGGUCCAUGCUUCAGAUACAAGUUUAAACGCCCCAUCAGCUCCCACAGUUUUAUUCUUAUCAGGGUGAAGCAACACAGCCAUCUUCCGGUACUGCUUUUUCACUGCAUCCCUGUCUGCAGAAGGCUUCAAUCCAAGAACUGAAUAAUAAUCAAUUUCGCCAUUGCAUUUAACCUCAGAUGCAAUAUAAACUUCAAAAGUGGCCACCAUCUGAGAUAUACCCUCCAGUCCAGGACACAGAUUUUUUGCCUUUAGAGCAUAAGUCUUCGCACCAGCAAAGUCUUUUUCAGCAAAUCGCUUCUCAGCAAUCGCUUUUGCUCUAAGGGCCUCCUCUACAUUGGCUUCCAUGUGGAAAUUCAAUUAACUUAUAAAGCCAAAAUCUUGACGCAAAAGCUAUGACCAGCUCAGCAUGCAUAACGUCAUAAGACACCCAAUUCUCAUGCAUAACCACAUUUUCUUCUCUGCAAAUAUUUUGUCAGAAUGUUUAGGUCCUUGUAGCAUCGAGCUUCAAGAAUACUCAGCGUAAAACUUUGAUUUGAACAGUGAAAUGGGAAGUGAAGCAAGACCCAGAUCGCCACGUGUACUUGGGAGCUCGAGAAAAUCAAGACAGUGACCUGAUUUCGUGAAUCUCAGUGUACUAUGAAGUUUCACACGCACAAAAACACAAACUCCUUUUUGCUGCUUAUUUUAUAGACGAUAACAAAGUGGAGAUAGUACAAUAAUUAUUAAGGAUUUAGGGUUUUUUAAGAGGAUGAUUAAUGGAUUGGGUCUUGGGUUGGCUGGUGGGUCAUAGUCCGGGUGGGAAUUUUUGGUGAAUCGGCGGCGAGGAUUUGGGAGGCUCCUGUCGAUCGCCGAUCGGAAAUGAGGGAAAAUUAAUAAAUAAAAAUGAUAAUUCAGU